ACGCUCGACACCUACGGGAGGCAGCAGUGGGGAAUAUUGCACAAUGGGGGAAACCCUGAUGCAGCGACGCCGCGUGAGCGAAGAAGUAUUUCGGUAUGUAAAGCUCUAUCAGCAGGGAANAAAAUGACGGUACCUGACUAAGAAGCCCCGGCUAACUACGUACCAGCAGCCGGCGGUAAUCUGAGCGGGCUGGCAAGGC
RNAcentral lists this ribosomal RNA (199 nucleotides) under uncultured bacterium. RNAcentral describes it as "partial 16S ribosomal RNA". It matches the Rfam family "Bacterial small subunit ribosomal RNA", at positions 328 to 539 of the family's 1533-position model. The record is from RNAcentral.